GGUUGUGGCUCAGCGGUAGAGCACUUGCCUAGCAUGUGUGAGGCCCUGGGUUCAAUCCUCAGCACCA
This 67-nucleotide transfer RNA is filed under the name Ictidomys tridecemlineatus (thirteen-lined ground squirrel). RNAcentral's name for it is "Spermophilus tridecemlineatus (thirteen-lined ground squirrel) tRNA". It matches the Rfam family "tRNA". Rfam says of the family: Transfer RNA (tRNA) molecules are approximately 80 nucleotides in length. Their secondary structure includes four short double-helical elements and three loops (D, anti-codon, and T loops). Further hydrogen bonds mediate the characteristic L-shaped molecular structure. tRNAs have two regions of fundamental functional importance: the anti-codon, which is responsible for specific mRNA codon recognition, and the 3' end, to which the tRNAs corresponding amino acid is attached (by aminoacyl-tRNA synthetases). tRNAs cope with the degeneracy of the genetic code in two manners: having more than one tRNA (with a specific anti-codon) for a particular amino acid; and 'wobble' base-pairing, i.e. permitting non-standard base-pairing at the 3rd anti-codon position. Lineage: Eukaryota; Metazoa; Chordata; Mammalia; Rodentia; Sciuridae. The record is from Rfam by way of RNAcentral.